GCCUUCGUGAUGUAACUGGAAGCCUGUUCGACUUGUAAUUGGACAGUCCGGAGUUCGAAUCCCGGUGAUGGCA
Molecule: transfer RNA, 73 nt
Filed under: Stegodyphus mimosarum
Lineage: Eukaryota; Metazoa; Arthropoda; Arachnida; Araneae; Eresidae
Rfam family: tRNA
About the family: Transfer RNA (tRNA) molecules are approximately 80 nucleotides in length. Their secondary structure includes four short double-helical elements and three loops (D, anti-codon, and T loops).
Source: Rfam by way of RNAcentral